Long non-coding RNA from Gordionus sp. m RMFG-2023, 717 nucleotides. RefSeq lists it as uncharacterized. The record is from RefSeq and is a predicted model, not a curated record. The transcript is spliced from 3 exons. Lineage: Eukaryota; Metazoa; Nematomorpha; Gordioida; Chordodea; Parachordodidae.
UAAUAUAUAUAUAAAAUUUAUAUGUGAAAUAUAUAAUUAUAAAACAGAAUUGCAUAAUAGUAUUUAUAAAAAACCAUUAAGUGGGAUAAAAAGGGAAGUAGUUGCUAAUGAAUUACAAAAAGAUUUAGCCAUAAACUGGCGUUUGAAAAAAGCAAAUGAAACCAUGGAAUAUGGUGAAUUGGAACCUAGAACUUUAUAUUCCUUGGAUGUCCUACGUAAAUGCAAACAAUCCAUUUCUAAUAAAUAUAACAUUAAAUCGGAUAGCGUAAUCAAUCAGUUAUUACAUCCAUACUUCAAAUAGAUGCCACAGGGAAUCGAAUUGAAUAACUGAGAACCAACUUUCUCAGGGAUAUUACACAAUAUCUGUACAUCGAAUUGAAUAACUGAGAACCAACUUUUCAGGGAUAUUAGAUAACGUUAUGAUCUUUUCCCUGAUCUCGGGCCUUCCCGUACCUACAACAACAACCUGAUGAUUGGAUGAAAUCUCAAUCAAUUCCACAUAUCUCCUAUGAAAUAUCCAAGGGUACUCAAGCCGAAAAAUUUAAACAACAUUAAUUAGAACACAACGCCCCCACGCUUAUAAUAAAUAUAUAUCGUGAUUAUAACAAAUUAUACUGUUGUUGCGUUUUCUGAUUAAUAUAUUACUAUUCGUACAUAAUAUUAUUCACCAUUCCUUCCCUAUUAUAUUACAUAAAAAAUCUUCGACUUAGAUUAAAA